GAUGAAGAACGUAGCGAAAUGCGAUAAGUAAUGUGAAUUGCAGAAUUCAGUGAAUCAUCGAAUCUUUGAACGCACAUUGCGCCCCUUGGUAUUCCGAGGGGCAUGCCUGUUCGAGCGUCAUUAUAACCCCUCAAGCUCAGCUUGGUGUUGGGGCCUGCUGCACUGGCAGCCCUUAAAAUCAGUGGCGGCGCCAUCUGGCUCUAAGCGUAGUAAUUCUUCUCGCUAUGGAGUCCUGGUGGAUGCUUACCAUCAACCCCCAAUUUUUCUAUGGUUGACCUCGGAUCAGGUAGGGAUACCCGCUGAACUUAAGCAUAUCAAUAAGCGGAGGA
RNAcentral lists this unclassified non-coding RNA (329 nucleotides) under soil metagenome. RNAcentral's name for it is "partial contains 5.8S ribosomal RNA, internal transcribed spacer 2, and large subunit ribosomal RNA". The stretch from base 1 to 120 matches the Rfam family "5.8S ribosomal RNA", at positions 35 to 154 of the family's 154-position model. The record is from RNAcentral.